Molecule: ribosomal RNA, 510 nt
Filed under: uncultured bacterium
Lineage: Bacteria
Description: partial 16S ribosomal RNA
Rfam family: Bacterial small subunit ribosomal RNA
Source: RNAcentral
GACGAACGCUGGCGGCGUGCUUAACACAUGCAAGUCGAACGAAGAGCGAUGGGAGCGUGCUUCUAUCAAUCUUAGUGGCGACCGGGUGAGUAACGCGUAAUCAACCUGCCCUUCAGAGGGGGACAACAGUUGGAAACGACUGCUAAUACCGCAUACGAUCCGAGCUCGGCAUCGAGGAAAGAGGAAAAGUGGCCUCUAUUUCUAAGCUACCACUGAAGGAGUGGAUUGCGGCUGAUUAGCUAGUUGGAGGGGUAACGGCCCACCAAGGCAAUGAUCAGUAGCCGGUCUGAGAGGAUGAACGGCCACAUUGGGACUGAGACACGGCCCAGACUCCUACGGGAGGCAGCAGUGGGGAAUCUUCCGCAAUGGACGAAAGUCUGACGGAGCAACGCCGCGUGAGUGAUGACGGCCUUCGGGUUGUAAAGCUCUGUUAAUCGGGACGAAAGGUCUUCUUGCGAAUAGGUAGAAGAAUUGACGGUACCGGAAUAGAAAGCCACGGCUAACUACGUG